Molecule: small RNA, 313 nt
Filed under: Histoplasma capsulatum var. duboisii H88
Lineage: Eukaryota; Fungi; Ascomycota; Eurotiomycetes; Onygenales; Ajellomycetaceae
Description: Histoplasma capsulatum H88 hypothetical RNA
Source: RNAcentral
GUUGUUCUCUUUCUGGGAAGAAAUGUGUCAUUUCAUCAGAAACUGCCCAUCAUUGUAGUGAAUGUGUUCGCUCAGGUCAUUCUUGUUCAUUCAUGACUUCAGAUCUGAAUUGAAAUAAGUUGGUAGUUGCUGUUGAUCACAUUGAAUGUGAAGAAGCUGAGACCCAUGCGCGUGUUUCUGAAUUGUUUGCUUGGUUAAAUCAUUUAGAGAAACAAAAGAAAUUAUUGCAUUCCCAUGCUGGUAAAUUCCUUCAGUCUGAUAUGACAACUGUGGAGGAGUUGGAAAAAGAAGAGCAGAAAGAAAAAGAAAAACA